CUAAGGAGCAUCUGCUCAGAUCCUUCCGAAGAGUCGGAAGUGACUGUGCCAGAGCCGUUUCGGACUCACAUGUAGUCCGGCGGAGCUCAUGGGUGGAACGCUGACAACCUCUCCCGCAUGUGGAGGAAGCCGAGUCUUUCUUCGUGGGUGAUAUAUCGACCCACUGUUGGGUCCUGAAAGAACAGACGUUCUUUCCAGGCAAAAAAUGCGACGAGGCUGAUCUUCAGUCAUACCGGCUUCUUCCUUCGGGUUGGGGUGCUGGUGCUGGGUUAUGGGUUGGUCUUGUGUGUUGUUUGAGAACUGCACAGUGGACGCGAGCAUCUUUGUUAGUAAGUGUUUAAGAGCGUAC
This 349-nucleotide unclassified non-coding RNA is filed under the name Nocardia cyriacigeorgica. RNAcentral's name for it is "16S-23S ribosomal RNA intergenic spacer". The record is from RNAcentral. Lineage: Bacteria; Bacillati; Actinomycetota; Actinomycetes; Mycobacteriales; Nocardiaceae.